Molecule: transfer RNA, 72 nt
Filed under: Thermoflexus hugenholtzii JAD2
Lineage: Bacteria; Bacillati; Chloroflexota; Thermoflexia; Thermoflexales; Thermoflexaceae
Also listed under: 4 other names
Description: tRNA_Cys_GCA
Rfam family: tRNA
About the family: Transfer RNA (tRNA) molecules are approximately 80 nucleotides in length. Their secondary structure includes four short double-helical elements and three loops (D, anti-codon, and T loops).
Source: RNAcentral
GGCGGCGUAGCCGAGUGGCCCAGGCGGGGGUCUGCAAAACCCCAGACGUGGGUUCGAUUCCCACCGCCGCCU